AAUGUACUGUGAACCCCAAAGUGUGAGAAUCAUUUUAUCUUUCUUUGGCAGGGCAGUCGUGCACCCCUGAACUCCUAUACUAUAGGAGACAGACACUGCUGGGCGGCGAAGCUGGGACUGACUCAGCAAGGGCAUGGUGACCAUGGAGUUUGAAGCCCCUCCCACCUGCUCCUUCUCAGAGUGUCAGGCUCUGGGCAGGGUUCACCUGCUACCAGAUAUCUGAAGGCAGAGAUUCCAGGCUUGUGUUGUCCUGGGCACCCCAUGGCUGAAGACCCCAGACCUUUCCAUGUUGAAGAGGACUCAGUCUGGGAAAAGAAACAUUAUAUUAUAAUCCAAUAUUAAAACAUGAACCUUAGUUGUGGUGGUUUGAGUAAGAAUAGCUUCAUAGACUAAUGUAUUUGAAUUCUUGGUCACCAGGGAGUGGCAUAAUUAGGAGGCGUGGCUUUGAUAGAGUAGGUGUGGACCUAUUGGAGGAAGUGUACCACUGUGGGUGGGCACAGGGGUUUAAAAUGUUCAAGCUAGGCCCUAAGCUCUCUCCCUGCUGCUUGUCGAUCCAGAUGUAGAACUUGCAGCUCCCUCUAUAGCACUAUGUCUGUCUGCAUAUUGACAUAUUUUCCACUCUGCUGAUGACGGACUGAACCGCUGAUCUGUAAGCCAGCUCCAAUGAAAUGUUGUCCUUUAUACAA
This 686-nucleotide long non-coding RNA is filed under the name Mus caroli (Ryukyu mouse). RNAcentral describes it as "lncRNA (MGP_CAROLIEiJ_G0005935.1)". Lineage: Eukaryota; Metazoa; Chordata; Mammalia; Rodentia; Muridae. The record is from RNAcentral.